GUCCACACUGUAAACGAUGAUGACUAACUGUUGGCUUUAGGGUCAGUGGUACAGAGAAAUCGUUAAGUCAUCCACCUGGGGAGUACGCCGGCAACGGUGAAACUCAAAGGAAUUGACGGGGUCGCACAAGCGGUGGAGCAUGUGGUUUAAUUCGAUGAUACGCGAGGAACCUUACCUAGGCUAGAAUGUGAGUGAAUGUAGUAGAGAUAUUACAGUCCGCAAGGACACGAAACAAGGUGCUGCAUGGCUGUCGU
Molecule: ribosomal RNA, 254 nt
Filed under: uncultured bacterium
Lineage: Bacteria
Description: partial 16S ribosomal RNA
Rfam family: Bacterial small subunit ribosomal RNA
Source: RNAcentral